This is a long non-coding RNA of Triticum aestivum (bread wheat), 1384 nucleotides long. RefSeq lists it as uncharacterized. The transcript has 3 exons. Lineage: Eukaryota; Viridiplantae; Streptophyta; Magnoliopsida; Poales; Poaceae. The record is from RefSeq and is a predicted model, not a curated record.
CUCCUACUCCCAUCCUCCCCCCCUCUGUCCGCCGCCACGCUCCUCCUCCCUUCCUCCCCCCUCUGUCCGCCGCCACGCUCCUCCUCCCUUCCUCCCCCCUCUGUCCGCCACCACGCUCCCUCCCUCUCAGCCCUCGUCGCCACGGGCUCCGCCCUAGGUGCCUUGCUGCCCACUGCUCCACCUCCACCACCUCACCUCUUUUUCCUCCUCGUCGUCCCAUCGCUCGCGCGCAGGUCGCCGUCGUGGGGGACAGGAAAGUGGCGGGAUGGGGUGGCCAUGAGUGCUUCAUAUCCCGACGGCGCCUCCUCCUCACAGCAUCGUCGCAGGCGCACCUUCUUCUCCUUCCUCCUCCCUCCCUCAUCACCACAUGCACCAGUCCCCUCCCUCGUCCAUGAUGGCCGCCCCCACAUGAAUCUCCCAGGCAGGGGAAGAAGGCCAUGGCGAGUUAGAGGCUACAGACGGAAGUAACAGGGGUGGGUGGAGCAGCUGAUGCGGAUGGGGUCGGUGCUUGAGGGAGGGUUACCGACCGGAGCAACAGGAGCAGCAAGCUCGACGAGGUUCAGAUUGGAUACAAAUGGUUCACCAAAGACAGAGCAUGAGCAACAGCGAGUGGCUGGGCUGUGCAAUUUUUCUCCCGUCGAGGUAUGCCUCCGUCUCACUGGGACAAGGAUCGACUUGUCUGCCACAUAUUUGUUUUCUUUGAUGCACAUUAUUGUUCGAUUGGAGUGCGCUGACUAUACAAUCUUGAUUCUGUAAAAAAGAGAAUAUGUUGUCCCAUCAGACAUGUUCAGUUUAGGGCCUGAUGGUGAUUGUUAUUAUGUUUUGUUAUGUCCGUUCCAUCAUUUCUUCAAGUGGUUCAGGUGUGAAUCUAAUGCCAUUUGCUGCCUCCUUAAUUUUUGGGUCUACCAUAUGCAGAGAUUCUCUCAUGGUUCUACUUCUAUCUUAUAGAAAGCAAAUAUUUUCUAUUGAUGAGCUUGUAGAUCUUCGCUACUGACCAUAUUUGUUCUCCAGGGCUGUAAGAAGUAAAAACUUUAUUUCUGCUCUAUGACUAUGUGUCGAAGAUGUUUUACAAGUUGUAAGUUUGACUUCUUUGAAGGGGAGCCUUGGCGCAGUGGUAAAGCUGCUGCCUUGUGACCAUGAGGUCAUGGGUUCAAGUCCUGGAAACAGCCUCUUACAGAAAUGUAGGGAAAGGCUGCGUACUAUAGACCCAAAGUGGUCGGACCCUUCCCUGGACCCUGCGCAAGCGGGAGCUACAUGCACCAGGGACAAGGAGCUGUAGCGUCAUGGAUUGGAGCAAAGGGGAGGUCCUGAUGGCUGAAGAUGGUGUGCACGGGAGGAGCUCAAAGCGGCAUUCCCAUGGAGGGAUGGCUGAUGUCAAGGCAAG